UUUUAAACUCAUUUACUAACAUCAACUUCCUUCACAGGGAAUGGAGCUCUCGACAAUGUGUGAAGACGGACAGCUGCUUCCUUUGCUUAUAUUUCAUUUCCUGGUGACAAACUGUCAAUAAGAGACCUGAACUGGAUUUGUGAUUACUAUUUGUGGGUUUUGACGGUAAUGGAUAAAAGUUACAAGAACCAUUGAAAGACUUCUCCAUUUGCAGAUGGAUUUGGGCUAAACUACAACAAGACCAUGACCCACUCAGGAUGUUUCUGAAAGCAACCGAGUUAUAUUGCCCAUUCUCUGCAGACAGAAAGCAGAACUCUAUUCAAAAUGUCUUCCUUGAAACAACGAACACAAGUAACCCAACCAAUUUUCUUAGGAAGAAAGCAGGGCCACGAUCACCUUGAAGAAUGGAAGGAGCAACUAGGAGAAAAAAAAUUGAACGCUGGUAGAAAAUAAAACUUGUGACAAAGAUAUAACUUCUGCAGAGUCACAUUCUGCUUUAUUAAUUAAGGAGCUGAAUUAUAUUGUGGUAAAGUCAGCCCUUUCACACCCUGCAUUCCUAACCUCAGUCAACCAAGCUUUGAACCCUGGUCUUGCAUAUGGCAAGUGUUUUACUGUCGAGUUAGCCUCAGUGUGAACAACAGUCUCCAGCCCAAUCCCCAAACCAAUACAUGGUUCUUUAAAAAGAAAGACAUUUCCCACUGCAUUGGGCAUUUCUAGUGUGAAAUUCUUUCAGAAUCUAAGAUGGUAUAGAGUGACCUGUGAGUAAUGGGUGGCUUUCACUGCCAAGCUGUCAGGCACCAAAAACAUCUUUCCUUUCCAGGAAGAUUUUCUAAUGGCACAAGUAUAUGGUCACUGUAUAUUUAUAGGUAAAUUUUUUCAUGGAUAUUUUCAUUACCAGAUCUUAAUCAAAUUAAAUCUUAGUGUAAGCCAGUUCUUCAACAAUGACAAAGCGCAUGUAUGUGCGCGCGCAUAUUGCAGAGGCUGAACGAUAAGAGCCCAUGUCUCAAGCAAAUUCAAUACUAAUGCUAACUUCCUUCAGCUACAUUUAAUAACUGAAGAGUCUAUGACCUUUAUGCCAUGGCAUUU
Molecule: long non-coding RNA, 1086 nt
Organism: Stegostoma tigrinum
Lineage: Eukaryota; Metazoa; Chordata; Chondrichthyes; Orectolobiformes; Stegostomatidae
Exons: 4
Source: RefSeq, a predicted model, not a curated record